UCGUAAAACCGAGGUGCGAGGGCUGUCGCUGCCCUUUUGGUCGUGCACGCCCGAGCGCUCUCACACAAUCCAUCUCCCCCCUUUGUGCACCACCGCGUGGGUCCCUCUCUGGUUCGUCCCGAGGGGGGCUUGCGUUUUCACACAAACUUGAAGCAAUGUAGAAUGUCUCUUUUUUUUUUGCGAUAACAUGCAAUCAAUA
RNAcentral lists this unclassified non-coding RNA (199 nucleotides) under uncultured Russulaceae. Its description in RNAcentral is "sequence contains ITS1". Lineage: Eukaryota; Fungi; Basidiomycota; Agaricomycetes; Russulales; Russulaceae. The record is from RNAcentral.